UAAGUGUAGCAUAAAUAAUGCAUCUCACUUACACUGAGAAAAUGCUCAUAUUUUGAGUCACUUAUA
Molecule: transfer RNA, 66 nt
Filed under: Tarebia granifera
Lineage: Eukaryota; Metazoa; Mollusca; Gastropoda; Thiaridae
Description: tRNA-Val
Source: RNAcentral